GACGAACGCUGGCGGCGUGCUUAACACAUGCAAGUCGAGCGGUAAGGCCCUUUCGGGGGUACACGAGCGGCGAACGGGUGAGUAACACGUGGGUGACCUGCCCUUAGCUCUGGGAUAAGCCUGGGAAACUAGGUCUAAUACCGGAUAUGACUCCAUGACGCAUGUUGUGGGGUGGAAAGCCUUGUGCGGCUAGGGAUGGGCCCGCGGCCUAUCAGCUUGUUGGUGGGGUGAUGGCCUACCAAGGCGACGACGGGUAGCCGGCCUGAGAGGGCGACCGGCCACACUGGGGCUGAGACACGGCCCAGACUCCUACGGGAGGCAGCAGUGGGGAAUCUUGCGCAAUGGGCGAAAGCCUGACGCAGCGACGCCGCGUGAGGGAUGACGGCC
Molecule: ribosomal RNA, 387 nt
Filed under: uncultured bacterium
Lineage: Bacteria
Description: bacterial SSU rRNA
Rfam family: Bacterial small subunit ribosomal RNA
Source: RNAcentral